CCUACGGGAGGCAGCAGUCGAGAAUCAUUCACAAUGGGGGAAACCCUGAUGGUGCGACGCCGCGUGGGGGAAUGAAGUUCUUCGGAUUGUAAACCCCUGUCAUGUGGGAGCAAAUUAAAAAGAUAGUACCACAAGAGGAAGAGACGGCUAACUCUGUGCCAGCAGUCGCGGUAAUACAGAGGUCUCAAGCGGUGUUCGGAAUCACUGGGCGUAAAGCGUGCGUAGGCUGUUUCGUAAGUCGUGUGUGAAUGGCGCGGGCUCAACCCGCGGACGGCACAUGAUACUGCGAGACUAGAGUAAUGGAGGGGGAACCGGAAUUCUCGGUGUAGCAGUGAAAUGCGUAGAUAUCGAGAGGAACACUCGUGGCGAAGGCGGGUUCCUGGACAUUAACUGACGUUGAGGCUCGAAAGCGUGGGGAGCAAACAGGAUUAGAUACCCGAGUAGUC
This 446-nucleotide ribosomal RNA is filed under the name uncultured bacterium. RNAcentral describes it as "partial 16S ribosomal RNA". It matches the Rfam family "Bacterial small subunit ribosomal RNA", at positions 338 to 795 of the family's 1533-position model. The record is from RNAcentral.